ACAUGGGCCACCUCCUUGGAAUCAGUUGCCUAGUGAACUUGGUAAAGCUGCAGUUUUCCUGGUUCCCCUUGUGGCUGCAGAAUCACUGGGAGGGGGGGCCUGAAUUUUUCUAACCGACUUACCCAGGUGAGUCCAGGCUACACAGCUAGACUUUGGAAUUACUGGUAGAUCCCAGGCGAAACAAGCAAACAAAUAAAAAGCAAAGCAGAUGAAAUAUUUAGGAGCAGGAAACUGGAAACAGAACCAUAAAAAUGCGAUAGCCGGGCUGACCCUCUGUAUGGAGCCAAACCAAUAAGUAAUAAUUUAUAAUUAAUAGAUAGCAAUUAUUUGAAGACUUACUAGGUAUCCAGGGCCAAUCCAAACGCUUUCUAUUACUUAAAUUUUUAAUCUUUAAAUUGUAAGGAACUUCAUGGGUGAGGUACGACCCGUGAAGGCCCCUGCACACAUGAGACACAGGCAUUUUAAGGCACUCAGAGAAGAUUACACAGCUGGUAGGUGGCCGAGCCAGGCUUCAGACUCAGGCAGUCUGGCUCCAGAACCUAUGUGCUAAAUUUUGACCAGAUACUGUCUUUCCUGUGCAAAUGCAAAUGCCAGGGAAACAAUGUGUAUUAAGGCAGUGCCUUUCCUCAUGCAGCCAUUGGUUCCUCAUAGUGGCCACAGGGAAGUGGGACUUCUUCCAGGGUGCGUCAGGGUUCCAGUGAGUAGGUGGGGGCUGACUGAACCAGCUUUGAAAGUGUCACCUCCACUAUACUCUGUCAGUUAAAGCAGUCACAAACACAUGCAGAUUCAAGAGGAGGGGACCUAACUCCACCUUUGAGGAGUGUCAAAGAAUUUGGAGCCAAGGUUUAAAAUCACCAUGUGGUUAACGUUUAUUGAGUACUUUCUACAUGCCAGGCACCGUGCCAAAUGCUUUACCGAGGGUAUUUCAUUUCAAGUUCAUCACAAUGGUAUGAAAUAUGUGCUAUUAUUACCCCAGUUUACAUAUAGGGAACAAAAGGCUUAGGGAGGAUGUGUAACUUGUCCAGCGUCACCAGUAAGUGGCCACACUGGGAAUUGAACCCAGAUUUGUGGGAUUUCAAAGCUUAUGCCUAAGCUGUAUGACCUUGAUAUUGUUCUUUCUAACUCAGCCCCGAUUCCUGACCCAGUGUGCAUAGUAGGCUCAUUCUAAGUGUUUGUGGAAGGGAAGAAAGUUUCAGCAACUAUACAUCUAAGGGACCUCAAAUACAGACUUUUGCAGGCAAUAUCAUGGUCAGCAACUACUACAUUCUCUUUUGCCCUUGUCAGAAGAGGAAUCCUUAGGAAUGAAUGGCUGCAUGGACCUCAGGCCUGGCACUGAUAUUUCUCAUGUAAUUGUUCACAGAAUUCCCUCCCCCUGGUGACCUCAUCUCCAAGGCCUUCUGCCUGGAUGCUGACUUCAAAGAAACAGGACAAAUAUUCUUUGGAAAAUACUUCUGAAUCGAAGUUCUCUCAGAUGCAGGAAGAAUAUCACAAUUUGGAAGCAUUCGUUCUCAGGAAUGUGGACAAAUAUCUUUUGACUACAUUUUACAACUUAUACUGAUCAGAAGAGUAAUCAAUGGUGUUUAAACUCAGUUUUAUUUUCAUGUACCCACUCAUCCAACAAACAUACAGAACAUCUACUAUGUGCCAGAGAUGAUGUUGGAUUAUGAAGACAUGAUGGUGAACAAGACAGAGAUGGUCUCUUCCCUCACAGAGCUUGUGGUCUAGUGAGGGAGACACAGUGAAACUAAACUUUGUUCCAAUUAGACUCUUUAAGCUAAAAGACAUAAAACAUUGAUGGAAGAAGAAUCUAACUGGUCCUUACUCCAAUAUCAAGCUUGUGCAAGCAGAUUCUUUACAGGCAAGUGCAAACCCUGAGACUUAAGGAAUGACCUUAUUUCCCAGAAGCAAAGAAAUCUGAACACAGCCCCAGCUGUCAGCCUCAAAGUGUCCAGUCAUUAGUGUGCCCACCAAGCAUCUUGAGUCCUCAUGCAAAAGGAAUCUUGGUAGGCCAUUCUGCCUGCCUUCUGCAAGAAGUGGGCUAGGCCUUCAGCCUAGAAGCCAUUGAAAGAUGUGCUUCCAAAAACUCACACCAAUUUUCCUUUUCAAGAUCAAACCAUAUUUAUCAACAGGGGGGUAUUGAUAUUUAAGGAAAUCUGCCUUGGUGGUGGUGGUGGAGGGAGGAAUCCUGUCAACAAUUACCCCUUAAUUUAGUUGUUAAAGUUUAGAUAUCCAUUCAUCUGAAGCCUCUAAUACAGUCAUGCAUCACUUAACAACAGGAACAUGUUCUGAGAAAUGCGUCAUUAGGUGAUUUCAGUGUUGUGUGAACAUCAUAGAGUGUACUUACACACACCUGGAUGGUAUAGCCUACUACACAGCUAGGCUAUAUAGUACUAAUCUUAUGGGACCACCUUCGUACAUGUGGCCCAUCUUUGACCAAAACGUCAUUAUGAGGCACAUGACUGUGUUUAAGCUCCCAACGUCUGUGGCAGUUACAAGAAGUGACACGGGGAUUCAGCAGGAUCGGAGACUUCAUAUAGGUGCAUUUUGAUAGUCUGUGGACUAUCUAAACAUGCAGUUAUUAUUUGAG
Equus caballus (horse) is the source of this 2587-nucleotide long non-coding RNA. The record is from Ensembl. NCBI's taxonomy places the organism in Eukaryota, Metazoa, Chordata, Mammalia, Perissodactyla, Equidae.